GUGCCAGCCGCUGCGGUAAUACGGAGGGUGCAAGCGUUAUCCGGAUUCACUGGGUUUAAAGGGUGCGUAGGCGGGCAGGUAAGUCAGUGGUGAAAUCCUGGAGCUUAACUCCAGAACUGCCAUUGAUACUAUCUGUCUUGAAUAUUGUGGAGGUAAGCGGAAUAUGUCAUGUAGCGGUGAAAUGCUUAGAUAUGACAUAGAACACCUAUUGCGAAGGCAGCUUACUACGCAUAUAUUGACGCUGAGGCACGAAAGCGUGGGAUCAAACAGGAUUAGAUACCCUGGUAGUCCACGCCCUAAACGAUGAUUACUCGACAUUAGCGAUACACUGUUAGUGUCUGAGCGAAAGC
This 350-nucleotide ribosomal RNA is filed under the name uncultured Sediminibacterium sp. Its description in RNAcentral is "bacterial SSU rRNA". It matches the Rfam family "Bacterial small subunit ribosomal RNA", at positions 505 to 858 of the family's 1533-position model. The record is from RNAcentral. Lineage: Bacteria; Pseudomonadati; Bacteroidota; Chitinophagia; Chitinophagales; Chitinophagaceae.